GAGCAUUUCCUUUGGAUAUUUGACAUAACAGGAGAAAUCGACUGCAACAUAUGAUUUGGACUAUAUAGAUGCUGGGCCAAACUUCAAUUCUCAUGGUGGAAUUUCUGCUUCUCCUCCUCCGCCACGACCAAAACCUCCUCAAGACUCCAACUGAUUGCUCUGUUUUAAAUUUUGCAAAGUUUUCUCUUAGAUCUGAUGAUGAGACUUGUAGAAAGUUGGGCUUUCAUAAUUGGGCUUUAAAUUUGUAGCGCUUUCUUUUCCUCUGCUCCACUUUCAGUUCAUGUAAUGACAAUGUUUUGAUUGUUGUGUUAAAUUUUGCCAUUCUGAUGGCUAUGGGGCGGGCCAGGUUUGGCAAAACCCACAAAAAAUUCAACCCGUCUCGCCCCCUAUAGUUAUUUUUUUCUGUUUUUAACCCGACUCGCCCCACUUAAAUUUUUUUUUUUCUAAAACAAAUUAGUUUGAUAUUUUAUUAUUUUGUAUAAUAGAG
This 487-nucleotide long non-coding RNA is filed under the name Nicotiana benthamiana. RNAcentral describes it as "long non-coding RNA (NBEN_LNC002864)". The record is from RNAcentral. Lineage: Eukaryota; Viridiplantae; Streptophyta; Magnoliopsida; Solanales; Solanaceae.